Long non-coding RNA from Rhipicephalus microplus (southern cattle tick), 245 nucleotides. NCBI's taxonomy places the organism in Eukaryota, Metazoa, Arthropoda, Arachnida, Ixodida, Ixodidae. The record is from RefSeq and is a predicted model, not a curated record.
UAAUUACCAUGAUGCUGCGUGCCGCAAUGCAAAACCAUCUAGAGACUGUCCCGCUUCCCGACUUCAUCUAACCAACAGAAACGCUGGAUUACACAAGUGAAGCGAGAUUGCUUGGAGCCGACUACUUCUUCCCGUGUUUGUGAGGCCCACUGCGAGGACACAAGCUUCCAGGAAAGGAGGCAGGACGGUUUGAAGAAAUUUAGGCGAGACGCUGGUUGGAUGCUGUUGGCAAUAAAAUCUGAACU